RNAcentral lists this ribosomal RNA (583 nucleotides) under Gluconobacter cerinus. Its description in RNAcentral is "bacterial SSU rRNA". It matches the Rfam family "Bacterial small subunit ribosomal RNA", at positions 56 to 683 of the family's 1533-position model. Lineage: Bacteria; Pseudomonadati; Pseudomonadota; Alphaproteobacteria; Acetobacterales; Acetobacteraceae. The record is from RNAcentral.
UGCAAGUCGCACGGAUCUUUCGGGAUCAGUGGCGGACGGGUGAGUAACGCGUAGGGAUCUAUCCAUGGGUGGGGGACAACUCCGGGAAACUGGAGCUAAUACCGCAUGAUACCUGAGGGUCAAAGGCGCAAGUCGCCUGUGGAGGAACCUGCGUUCGAUUAGCUAGUUGGUGGGGUAAAGGCCUACCAAGGCGAUGAUCGAUAGCUGGUUUGAGAGGAUGAUCAGCCACACUGGGACUGAGACACGGCCCAGACUCCUACGGGAGGCAGCAGUGGGGAAUAUUGGACAAUGGGCGAAAGCCUGAUCCAGCAAUGCCGCGUGUGUGAAGAAGGUCUUCGGAUUGUAAAGCACUUUCGACGGGGACGAUGAUGACGGUACCCGUAGAAGAAGCCCCGGCUAACUUCGUGCCAGCAGCCGCGGUAAUACGAAGGGGGCUAGCGUUGCUCGGAAUGACUGGGCGUAAAGGGCGCGUAGGCGGUUUAUGCAGUCAGAUGUGAAAUCCCCGGGCUUAACCUGGGAACUGCAUUUGAGACGCAUAGACUAGAGGUCGAGAGAGGGUUGUGGAAUUCCCAGUGUAGCGGUG